RNAcentral lists this ribosomal RNA (254 nucleotides) under uncultured bacterium. Its description in RNAcentral is "partial 16S ribosomal RNA". It matches the Rfam family "Bacterial small subunit ribosomal RNA", at positions 524 to 776 of the family's 1533-position model. The record is from RNAcentral.
UACGAAGGUGGCAAGCGUUACUCGGAAUUACUAGGUCGUAAAGGGCAGGUAGGUGGUUUGGUUAGUCUGUUGUGAAAGCUCCUUGCUUAACGGGGAGAGGUCAACAGAUACUGCCAGACUUGAGUAUAGGAGAGGGUACUGGAAUUCCCGGUGUAGCGGUGGAAUGCGCAGAUAUCAGGAGGAACACCGAUGGCGAAGGCAGGUCACUGGGCCGCAACUGACGCUGAGGAGCGAAAGCAUGGGGGAGCAACAGG